Molecule: ribosomal RNA, 538 nt
Filed under: uncultured bacterium
Lineage: Bacteria
Description: bacterial SSU rRNA
Rfam family: Bacterial small subunit ribosomal RNA
Source: RNAcentral
GAGGAAUAUUGGUCAAUGGACGGAAGUCUGAACCAGCCAAGUAGCGUGCAGGAUGACGGCCCUAUGGGUUGUAAACUGCUUUUGUAUGGGGAUAAAGUUAGGGACGUGUCCCUAUUUGCAGGUACCAUACGAAUAAGGACCGGCUAAUUCCGUGCCAGCAGCCGCGGUAAUACGGAAGGUCCAGGCGUUAUCCGGAUUUAUUGGGUUUAAAGGGAGCGUAGGCUGGAGAUUAAGUGUGUUGUGAAAUGUAGACGCUCAACGUCUGAAUUGUAGCGCGAACUGGUUCACUUGAGUAUGCACAACGUGGCGGAAUUCGUCGUGUAGCGGUGAAAUGCUUAGAUAUGACGAAGAACUCCGAUUGCGAAGGCAGCUUACGGGAGCACAACUGACGCUGAAGCUCGAAGGUGCGGGUAUCAAACAGGAUUAGAUACCCUGGUAGUCCGCACAGUAAACGAUGGAUGCCCGCUGUUGGUACCUGGUAUCAGCGGCUAAGCGAAAGCAUUAAGCAUCCCACCUGGGGAGUACGCCGGCAACGGUG